RNAcentral lists this long non-coding RNA (221 nucleotides) under Hordeum vulgare. Its description in RNAcentral is "long non-coding RNA (HVUL_LNC005007)". The record is from RNAcentral. Lineage: Eukaryota; Viridiplantae; Streptophyta; Magnoliopsida; Poales; Poaceae.
CUGGGUGGAAAUGUCAAAGAGAAAAGCAUAUACUAUCGCUGAGUGGAACUACUAACCAGGAGAGAGAAGGCGAGAUAGAUUAGGUGGUAGUCUGACUCCGCACGCUUCUCCCCUCCCCCUCCCCCUUCUCUCGUCUCGUCCCCCUCUCCCUUCCAAAUCGAAAUCCCCCACCCAUACUGAGCCAGUGAGCUCCACACUCCUCCCCAGCUCGCCCCGGCGUC